RNAcentral lists this ribosomal RNA (404 nucleotides) under Fusobacteriota bacterium. RNAcentral describes it as "Fusobacteria bacterium partial 16S ribosomal RNA". It matches the Rfam family "Bacterial small subunit ribosomal RNA", at positions 355 to 776 of the family's 1533-position model. The record is from RNAcentral. Lineage: Bacteria; Fusobacteriati; Fusobacteriota.
UGGGGAAUAUUGCACAAUGGAGGGAACUCUGAUGCAGCGACGCCGCGUGAGUGAUGAAGGAAUUCGUUUCGUAAAACUCUGUUCUAUGGGAAGAAAAGGACUGUACCAUAGGAGAAAGCUCCGGCUAAAUACGUGCCAGCAGCCGCGGUACUACGUAUGGAGCGAGCGUUGUCCGGAAUUAUUGGGCGUAAAGGGUGCGCAGGCGGCUUUACAAGUUGGAUGUGAAAUAUUGUGGCUCAACCACAAACGUGCAUCCAAAACUGCAAAGCUUGGGUUAAGGAGAGGUAAGUGGAAUUCCUGGUGUAGCGGGGGAAUGCGUAGAUAUCAGGAGGAAUACCAGUGGCGAAGGCGACUUACUGGACUUAAACUGACGCUCAGGCACGAAAGCGUGGGGAGCAAACAGG